RNAcentral lists this ribosomal RNA (252 nucleotides) under uncultured bacterium. RNAcentral describes it as "partial 16S ribosomal RNA". It matches the Rfam family "Bacterial small subunit ribosomal RNA", at positions 333 to 602 of the family's 1533-position model. The record is from RNAcentral.
UAGGCCCUACGGGACGCAGCAGUGGGGGAUAUUGCACAAUGGGGGGAACCCUGAUGCAGCGACGCCGCGUGGGUGAAGGAGCGGUUCGGCGCGUAAAUCCCUAUCGGCAGGGAAGAAGAUGACGGUACCUGGCCAAGAAGCCCCGGCUAACUACGUGCCAGCAGCCGCGGUAAUACGUAGGGGGCAAGCGUUAUCCGGAUUCACUGGGUGUAAAGGGAGCGUAGACGGCCAAGCAAGCCAGGGGUGAAAGCC